CACUCACUCUAGCCCAGGCGACAAAGUGAGACUCUGUCUCAAAAAAGAAGAAAAUCAGAAGUUUACAUUCAAAGCAUAAGAGAGUCUCUUCUGACCGGACCCUGGAGAAGCCGAGGGGACCCGGCUGGGAGCUGAGCGUGCCAACCAAGGCAUCCUUCGUUCUGAAGAAGGGUGCUUGGAGGGGCAACAGGGCACUCGAGAGGUGGCCACACAGGUCAGGAGGUGCUAAGGGCUUCCAUGGCCACAUGGAGAAAAAACAGUCCUGCUCGCAUGGAAAUGUCUUUUCAAAUUCUUCCACAAAAAGGUGUCCAGUUGGACACUGGUCUUGUUCCUUAAAAGAGCAGGAGGUUAUUAUAUGAAUGUUGAAAGUCUCACUUUUUUUUUUUUUUCCUUUUAGCAGGCUGGAUACCCCCUUCCCUUGUCUCAUCCCAGACAGAAAGACCAGUGAGGCAUUAGGGCCGGGUCAUCAUUUGGUUUUGCUCAGAAACAGCCUGGGCCUCCCCAUCAUCCCUUAGAUAAAAGACAAUUCUUCUAAAGCUUCAGUGAUCUUAUUACACCUAUGACGGCAUGAAAUAAACUGACCAUUGCAGCAGGCGACAUAAAGUUGAAAAAUCAGUCUUCAACCCUAAGUCCCCAGGAAAUUUACAACUGGGGGAGUGUGGAAAAGUGGGCAGGACAGGUCUAGGCACAGCCACCUGUGGGAACAGCUUCCCCCAGGCUCACGAAUAACCAGCAACUGUGGAUUUCAGUCCUCCUUAGGAGUCUGGGAUCCUGUAAUUUUCCACUGUUAUUGUUCCGUUUGAGUUUUCAAAAGUGGCUUGGGUUAAAUCGGAUCAUUUGUCUCCCCGGUAGUUUUCCAGCCAUGCUUUAUUUUCUCAGGGAUCUGAUCUAUACGGCCCUAAGGGAGACGCCCGCUCUGUCUGGCCGGAACUUCCCGCCCCCGCGCCGGGCUGCGGUUUAGCGGGAGCAGCGGGGGAAGCCGGUCGCGCCUGCGCACAGCAGCCCGUCCACAGUUGGCGCUUCCUGAAACCCCGAGGCGACACCCGUGUCUUCUGUCGCUGCCGCACCUGGACAAGAGUUUCCACGAAGAAACGGCCAAACAGGGUCGCCUUCAACUACUCUAAACGCAUGUCGUGCUCCCAGAUUGGUGGUGAUUGAACAAGUAAACAAACAAAAAAGGGUUUUAUUCGGGCAUCAAUAUUUUCAAGAGGCUCAAGCCUUUCCGCCGUCUUUCUUGGAACAUUUAUGUCAAGCACACCUGACCAUUCCUAAGGAAAGUCUCUGUAACAGACUGGUCUGGUACCAAGAAAAGCUUCUCAAACAUUCACCCAACCAAGAGGCGGGACAGUCAACACUGCAAGCCACGAGCAAACAAACUCUCCUACAGGGAAAAGAAAAACACUCAUUUGGGACGCGGCCAAAGAGAGGACCGCGGGCCCGGCGCUCAAGCUUAUACCUGACCGUCUGCGUCUCAGCUGUUUUACGUGGACUGCUGUGAGUUUCUGCCCAGCACAAUUUUUAAAUUAAAUAUAACAUACAACCUGCUUUGAUGAUUCUGUAGCACAAUGUUUUCUAAAUUCUAAUAUUUCACUGGAUAAAAUGCUUCAAUUCCUUUAGACAAGAGCGCUCAUUUUUCUGUUGUUUUUGCCAAAUAGGCAGAUGGAAAGGAUGUACCGUGCGAGAGUCUAGGAUUGGGCACUGCGGGGUAGAAGUGAUGAAUCCAAGCUUACUGAUCCUGUUUGCUUUCUGUGGUGCCUUCUGGCAGCCUGUGUUAGAUGUGUCACAGGCUGUCUGGCCACGCACGGUGCUUGGUGACGGUGGUGGAUUUCGACGUGUGACGCUAAAACGCCAGGGAGGAAAGUGACAGAAACUGUUAAAAAUGAGUGGAAAUGAGUAAAAUGGAAGGAUGAAAAUAAGAAGAACAAAAAGAGAAUGAAAGAAAAAACAAAGAGCCCAGAGAACUUAAUAAAGAAUAAAGGCAUUCUGAACUACCAUGAGAUGGGAUACAAUUGUAGUGUGACAUUAAUCUUCUUCCAGUUAUAUGCCCUGUGUCUCCCCCACCCGCCCCCAGACUGCCUAACUAGCUUUCUUCUUACUGCUCUCUCCUCGCUGUAUUUACCCUACAGGGAAGGAGUCAAGAAGACGGUCUUGACAAAGUGUGACACCUGCCAUCACUGCAUAUGUUUAGGUUCACAAGCGGGAAGAAUCAAAAGGGUGCUAUGUCCCCAGGGCAUUUUGUGUAGUGAUCUGUUCCCAGGUGGCAGUGAUAUCUCCAACAAGUCUACAUGACCUGUACAUAGCUUCACCUGAAUAGAGGUGUCAACCACACUUCCAUUGUAAAAAAAAAAAACAAAGAGUUCCUUGUAAUAGGAGCAGUCAAAUGUAAAACGUAAAGGCCAAUGCAAACAAAGCAAGAUUUAAAGAAACCAAUGGCUAGCAAGGGAGUGUAUCUAUCUCAGUAGUCUGCCCAUAACCGUUAUAAUUCAUUAUGCACCCAGAUGAGGCCUUUAGAUCUUUUCUCUCACCUAUUUUAUCUACAUGGAAGCCCAGAGGUUGACCCUAUUCCAUAGUUAAGUCUUUAUCAUUAUCCAAUAGAACUGGCAGGAGGAAAAAGUCCCACCCUCCCCACUCCAUCCAUCUCUCCCUCCUGCUGUGAGGGAGAGAAUGGUCUCAUUCUCUCUCUCUCUCUCUCUCUCUCUCUCUCUCUCCCCUUAAUGAGGCAGAAGCAGAAUAAAGGAUCACAGUCCUGUAAAUGCAUUUGUGCACACUGGUUUCCACACUACCCCUAGUCUUAAGGUUGCCACUUUACUAAUGGAAAUGUAGCAACUCUGCCCCUCAUUCUCUCACAAAGAAAUAAAAUACGUCACUAAAACA
This is a long non-coding RNA of Microcebus murinus (gray mouse lemur), 2874 nucleotides long. RefSeq lists it as uncharacterized. Lineage: Eukaryota; Metazoa; Chordata; Mammalia; Primates; Cheirogaleidae. The record is from RefSeq and is a predicted model, not a curated record.